ACGGGAGGCAGCAGUGGGGAAUAUUGGGCAAUGGACGAAAGUCUGACCCAGCGACGCCGCGUGAGGGAAGAAGGUCUUCGGAUUGUAAACCUCUUUCAGCAGGGAAGAAGAAAGUGACGGUACCUGCAGAAGAAGUCACGGCUAACUACGUGCCAGCAGCCGCGGUAAUACGUAGGUGGCGAGCGUUAUCCGGAUUUACUGGGUGUAAAGGGCGCGUAGGCGGGGAUGCAAGUCAGAUGUGAAAUCUAUGGGCUUAACUCAUAAACUGCAUUUGAAACUGUAUCUCUUGAGUGCUGGAGAGGUAGAUGGAAUUCCUUGUGUAGCGGUGAAAUGCGUAGAUAUAAGGAAGAACACCAGUGGCGAAGGCGAUCUACUGGACAGUAACUGACGCUGAGGCGCGAAAGCGUGGGGAGCAAACAGGAUUAGAUACCCUGGUA
This is a ribosomal RNA of 437 nucleotides. It matches the Rfam family "Bacterial small subunit ribosomal RNA", at positions 341 to 792 of the family's 1533-position model.